GCUGUCAAAAAUUUGCAACUUCACGUGUUUAGUCGUCAUCACCAGUUCCAACAAAGAAAGCUCGCGGACGUGUUCCGGAGUUCCCCCGGCCGCGUUUCCCCGGUUUCCCCGAUCCAGAAGUCGCCCAACGUUGAAAGAAGCUGCGUCCGCGCGGUUUGAAGCACGUCCGCAAUGCGAGAACCGGCGCCGAAGACUUCCCCAGUGAGAUGCAAAUCGGUUCUCCAGGAGUGUCCGGAAUGGAGCAGGAAUCGGAGACUGAAGGAGGCCACGGCUGGAGAGUUCAAUUUCGUUCCCGGGGGAAGCGGGUUACGCCGGCGAAGAAGACGUCGCUGACGUUUGCCAUUUUCCGCACCGGUUGACCGGAUUGGGGUGGAGAAGAUAUGGUGGAGAACCAAUGUGAAGCGGCCGUCUGAGGCGAUGCAAAACGUUAACCUCGACCCGCUGCCACCCGUCUCCCACCUCCAACCCGGUCGGAGAACAUCACGGCUUCUCCGACGACAAUGACCGCAUCGAGGAACCCAGAAACGUGAAACGUGUCAUCAUUCCGCCCUCACUACCGCGACCGCAUCCCCAAGUCCAGCCCAACAAAGUGAAUCCCUCAUCGAGCGUGUCAUGCAGCAGUGUCCCCUCAAUCCGACGGCCCAGACCAUACCCAGCCGCUCAACGUGACGAUUGGGUUCUUCUCUCUGGGGUCGUCCUCGCCGUGGCGAGUUUAAAACGAAAACGUCCUGUCGCGAACGUUCUCUUUUCCCGAUUGAACCGCCUGCUGCCAUGGUAUGGGAGCGACGUCGUCGUUCGGGACCAAAAUGUGCGGCCAAAGACGCCGGUUGUGGAGUAGCCGGUUUCGCUGGCCAAGCGAUUGUCACCGCACGCAGUGAUCGUUCGGGUACCUGGAGUUAAGGCCGAUGCCAUGUUCCGGGGAAUUCGACAGCGACAACCUUUAAGUACGAUCCUGCGGUGCUGAAGUCCUAGCACAAUCCUUCAUCAGCACCAGAUGUUGCAGAGAUUCAGCACAGCGGGGUUCAGUGUGUGAUGGUGGUGUGUGGUUCCCGUUCACUAACUGGGCCAUCGAUUACCCCAAAUCAAGUCAUCGAUAGACAAAAAAAA
This is a long non-coding RNA of Culex quinquefasciatus (southern house mosquito), 1107 nucleotides long. RefSeq lists it as uncharacterized. The transcript has 2 exons. The record is from RefSeq and is a predicted model, not a curated record. NCBI's taxonomy places the organism in Eukaryota, Metazoa, Arthropoda, Insecta, Diptera, Culicidae.